This 468-nucleotide ribosomal RNA is filed under the name uncultured bacterium. Its description in RNAcentral is "partial 16S ribosomal RNA". It matches the Rfam family "Bacterial small subunit ribosomal RNA", at positions 28 to 523 of the family's 1533-position model. The record is from RNAcentral.
GAUGAACGCUGGCGGCGUGCCUAACACAUGCAAGUCGAGCGAUUCUCUUCGGAGAAGAGCGGCGGACGGGUGAGUAACGCGUGGGUAACCUGCCCUGUACACACGGAUAACAUACCGAAAGGUAUGCUAAUACGAGAUAAUAUACUUUUAUCGCAUGGUAGAAGUAUCAAAGCUUUUGCGGUACAGGAUGGACCCGCGUCUGAUUAGCUAGUCGGUAAGGUAACGGCUUACCAAGGCGACGAUCAGUAGCCGACCUGAGAGGGUGAUCGGCCACAUUGGAACUGAGACACGGUCCAAACUCCUACGGGAGGCAGCAGUGGGGAAUAUUGCACAAUGGGCGAAAGCCUGAUGCAGCAACGCCGCGUGAGCGAUGAAGGCCUUCGGGUCGUAAAGCGCUGUCCUCAAGGAAGAUAAUGACGGUACUUGAGGAGGAAGCCCCGGCUAACUACGUGCCAGCCGCCGCGGUAA